UCCGGGUUGAUCCUGCCAGAGGUUACUGCUAUCGGUGUUCGACUAAGCCAUGCGAGUCAUAUGUUCUUCGUGAACAUGGCGGACUGCUCAGUAACACGUGGAUAACCUGCCCUUAGGUUUGGCAUAACUCCGGGAAACUGGAGAUAAUUCCGAAUAGGUCAAAUAUGCUGGAAUGCUUUUUGGCCAAAAGACUUCGGUUGCCUAAGGAUGGAUCUGCGGUCUAUCAGGUAGUAGUGGGUGUAACGUACCUACUAGCCUACGACGGAUAUGGGUUGUGAGAGCAAGAGCCCAGAGAUGGAUUCUGAGACAUGAAUCCAGGCCCUACGGGGCGCAGCAGGCGCGAAAACUUUACAAUGCGGGAAACCGCGAUAAGGGGACACCGAGUGCCAGCAUUUAUGUUGGCUGUCCACAUGUGUAAACGGCAUGUGUUAGCAAGGGCCGGGCAAGACCGGUGCCAGCCGCCGCGGUAACACCGGCGGCCCGAGUGGUAAUCAC
This 495-nucleotide ribosomal RNA is filed under the name uncultured archaeon. Its description in RNAcentral is "bacterial SSU rRNA". It matches the Rfam family "Archaeal small subunit ribosomal RNA", at positions 1 to 498 of the family's 1478-position model. The record is from RNAcentral.